CCUACGGGAGGCAGCAGUGAGGAAUAUUGGUCAAUGGACGAGAGUCUGAACCAGCCAAGUAGCGUGAAGGAUGACUGCCCUAUGGGUUGUAAACUUCUUUUAUAUGGGAAUAAAAUGUUCCACGUGUGGGAUUUUGUAUGUACCAUAUGAAUAAGGAUCGGCUAACUCCGUGCCAGCAGCCGCGGUAAUACGGAGGAUCCGAGCGUUAUCCGGAUUUAUUGGGUUUAAAGGGAGCGUAGGUGGAUUGUUAAGUCAGUUGUGAAAGUUUGCGGCUCAACCGUGAAAUUGCAGUUGAGACUGGCAGGCUUGAGUACAGUAGAGGUAGGCGGAAUGCGUGGUGUAGCGGUGAAAUGCUUAGAUAUCACGAAGAACUCCGAUUGCGAAGGCAGCUCACUGGACUGCAACUGACACUGAGGCUCGAAAGUGUGGGUAUCAAACAGGAUUAGAUACCCUAGUAGUC
This 460-nucleotide ribosomal RNA is filed under the name uncultured bacterium. RNAcentral describes it as "partial 16S ribosomal RNA". It matches the Rfam family "Bacterial small subunit ribosomal RNA", at positions 338 to 795 of the family's 1533-position model. The record is from RNAcentral.